Molecule: ribosomal RNA, 253 nt
Filed under: uncultured bacterium
Lineage: Bacteria
Description: partial 16S ribosomal RNA
Rfam family: Bacterial small subunit ribosomal RNA
Source: RNAcentral
UACGUAGGGGGCAAGCGUUGUCCGGAAUCAUUGGGCGUAAAGCGCGCGUAGGCGGCCCGGUAAGUCCGCUCUGAAAGUCCAGGGCUUAACCCUGGAAAGCGGGUGGAUACUGCCGGGCUUGAAUCCGGAAGAGGCGAGUGGAAUUCCUGGUGUAGCGGUGGAAUGCGCAGAUAUCAGGAGGAACACCAAUAGCGAAGGCAGCUCGCUGGGACGGUAUUGACGCUAAGGCGCGAAAGCGUGGGGAGCAAACAGG